CAUUUGUUCUCUAAAUAAGGACUUGUAUGAAUGGCCACACGAGGGUUUUACUGUCUCUUACUUCCAAUCAGUGAAAUUGACCUCCCCGUGAAGAGGCGGGGAUGAACUAAUAAGACGAGAAGACCCUAUGGAGCUUUAACUAACCAAUUCAAAGAAAAUAUAAAAAAUCACCCAAGAGAUAACAACAUUUUCUCAUGAGUUGACAGUUUCGGUUGGGGUGACCUCGGAGAAUAAAAAAUCCUCCGAACGAUUCUAAAGACUAGACCCACAAGUCAAAUCACUCAAUCGCUCAUUGAUCCAAAAAAUUUGAUCAACGGAACAAGUUACCCUAGGGAUAACAGCGCA
This 345-nucleotide ribosomal RNA is filed under the name Tragelaphus angasii (nyala). RNAcentral describes it as "partial 16S ribosomal RNA". It matches the Rfam family "Archaeal large subunit ribosomal RNA", at positions 2043 to 2553 of the family's 2987-position model. Lineage: Eukaryota; Metazoa; Chordata; Mammalia; Artiodactyla; Bovidae. RNAcentral also lists the same sequence under 1 other name. The record is from RNAcentral.